GAUGAACGCUGGCGGCGUGCCUAAUACAUGCAAGUCGAGCGAACGGACGAGAAGCUUGCUUCUCUGAUGUUAGCGGCGGACGGGUGAGUAACACGUGGAUAACCUACCUAUAAGACUGGGAUAACUUCGGGAAACCGUAGCUAAUACCGGAUAAUAUUUUGAACCGCAUGGUUCAAAAGUGAAAGACGGUCUUGCUGUCACUUAUAGAUGGAUCCGCGCUGCAUUAUCUAGUUGGUAAGGUAACGGCUUACCAAGGCAACGAUGCAUAGCCGACCUGAGAGGGUGAUCGGCCACACUGGAACUGAGACACGGUCCAGACUCCUACGGGAGGCAGCAGUAGGGAAUCUUCCGCAAUGGGCGAAAGCCUGACGGAGCAACGCCGCGUGAGUGAUGAAGGUCUUCGGAUCGUAAAACUCUGUUAUUAGGGAAGAACAUAUGUGUAAGUAACUGUGCACAUCUUGACGGUACCUAAUCAGAAAGCCACGGCUAACUACGUG
RNAcentral lists this ribosomal RNA (497 nucleotides) under uncultured bacterium. Its description in RNAcentral is "partial 16S ribosomal RNA". It matches the Rfam family "Bacterial small subunit ribosomal RNA", at positions 28 to 507 of the family's 1533-position model. The record is from RNAcentral.